This is a long non-coding RNA of Oxyura jamaicensis (ruddy duck), 233 nucleotides long. RefSeq lists it as uncharacterized. The transcript is spliced from 3 exons. The record is from RefSeq and is a predicted model, not a curated record. NCBI's taxonomy places the organism in Eukaryota, Metazoa, Chordata, Aves, Anseriformes, Anatidae.
AGGCUCAAAAAAAGGCAGACUGCAGACUGGCGAGAUGAUGAUAGAUGACUUGGAUUGUGUCUGUUUCAACCAAUGUGACCUUGUACAGAAGCUGUCCUUGUUGGCCAGCCAGGGAGAACGCCGAUAGAACAUAACUUUUGCAAACAGUAAACGGAGGUAGAGCCCAUUUCCCAGUGAGAAUAUUCACAAAGCCUUCAGGAGACUAUCAGAGCCACAGAUUCAAGCAUCUAAAG